RNAcentral lists this ribosomal RNA (187 nucleotides) under uncultured bacterium. Its description in RNAcentral is "partial 16S ribosomal RNA". It matches the Rfam family "Bacterial small subunit ribosomal RNA", at positions 338 to 523 of the family's 1533-position model. The record is from RNAcentral.
CCUACGGGAGGCAGCAGUAGGGAAUAUUGGGCAAUGGACGAGAGUCUGACCCAGCCAUGCCGCGUGCAGAAAGACGGCGUUCUGCGUUGUAAACUGCUUUUAUCUGGGAAGAAAAUGCCCCUGCGGGGGAAAUUGCCGGUACCAGAUGAAUAAGCACCGGCUAACUCCGUGCCAGCAGCCGCGGUAA